AUUGAACGCUGGCGGCAGGCCUAACACAUGCAAGUCGAACGGUAACAGGAAGCAGCUUGCUGCUUCGCUGACGAGUGGCGGACGGGUGAGUAAUGUCUGGGAAACUGCCUGAUGGAGGGGGAUAACUACUGGAAACGGUAGCUAAUACCGCAUAACGUCGCAAGACCAAAGAGGGGGACCUUAGGGCCUCUUGCCAUCGGAUGUGCCCAGAUGGGAUUAGCUAGCAGGUGGGGUAACGGCUCACCUAGGCGACGAUCCCUAGCUGGUCUGAGAGGAUGACCAGCCACACUGGAACUGAGACACGGUCCAGGCUCCUACGGGAGGCAGCAGUGGGGAAUAUUGCACAAUGGGCGCAAGCCUGAUGCAGCCAUGCCGCGUGUAUGAAGAAGGCCUUCGGGUUGUAAAGUACUUUCAGCGGGGAGGAAGGGAGUAAAGUUAAUACCUUUGCUCAUUGACGUUACCCGCAGAAGAAGCCCCGGCUAACUCCGUG
This 490-nucleotide ribosomal RNA is filed under the name uncultured bacterium. RNAcentral's name for it is "partial 16S ribosomal RNA". It matches the Rfam family "Bacterial small subunit ribosomal RNA", at positions 30 to 507 of the family's 1533-position model. The record is from RNAcentral.